UAAUGAUUUUUUGAUUUCAUGUCACUUCCCUAUUCGAAUUGUCCGUCAAAUUUGUCAGUUUUGGUUUUGUCCAACAAUCUGUUCCAAGUCAUUUCUAAAUUUUAUUGUGUUCGGUGUAGUUACAAUAAUCCCCCAUAAUGGAUACAAAUGAACGAGAAUAUGAUUUCCCUUUUAAUUAUUUGUACAAAGUAUUAGUUUUUUUCUUAACAAAAGUAAUCAAGAUAAGCACGUUGUUGGUACUGGUAUCCAACAUCGCUUGGAUCGCGAUGGCUUUUUAUUGCUUAAAAAAAUACAACGAAAGACACCGCAAUGAUUUAAUGCAGUUUGCUUACGUGACUUUCGUAAUAAGUGCCAUGAACAGCGCCAUGAACAUCACAGAACUUUUCUACGAAAACGUAAUGACGUCUAUGAGAUCUCUUCUUGAGCUGCUCCUCGCAGCCCUUGCAUUUCCAUGCUUAACUACUGCGGUAUGGCUCAAUUUUGAUGUCGCUCAAAAAGAAGUGGCAUGGCUCCAUACAGUCAUUGGGCUAAUACCCACUUAUAUUUUCUUAUUCCAACACUACACAAGGCAAGAUUUAAUCGACUUCACAGUCGUUAUGAACAUGGUGUCGUUAAUUGGAGUCGGGUUUUUGUAUCAAGAUUUAUUUGCAAUGGCAGCCUCGGUACUGUUCUUUUUGUGCUAUUGCGGGUUUUUCUUCCGAAGUGAACUAGUUUACGAGCCGGGGUUAAAACAAAUUUUUAAUUACUGCAUGGCGGCGUUUACCUUUUGCGGCUAUAAGGCCGUUACGUGAGAGUUUGGUGUUAUAAUGUUUGGCUAAAUUUAUAAAUGAUGGUCGAAAAACUGUGUAAUUAUUAAUUUUUGCAUUUAGUAAUAAUAAAAAAUACUUAGCAGA
Molecule: RNA transcript, 893 nt
Organism: Tribolium castaneum (red flour beetle)
Lineage: Eukaryota; Metazoa; Arthropoda; Insecta; Coleoptera; Tenebrionidae
Exons: 3
Source: RefSeq, a predicted model, not a curated record